RNAcentral lists this ribosomal RNA (465 nucleotides) under uncultured bacterium. RNAcentral describes it as "partial 16S ribosomal RNA". It matches the Rfam family "Bacterial small subunit ribosomal RNA", at positions 338 to 795 of the family's 1533-position model. The record is from RNAcentral.
CCUACGGGAGGCAGCAGUAGGGAAUUUUCCACAAUGGACGAAAGUCUGAUGGAGCAACGCCGCGUGAGUGAAGAAGGGUUUCGGCGCGUAAAGCUCCGUUGGUAGUGAAGAAAGAUAGAGGUAGUAACUGGCUUGUAUUUGACGGGAAUUACAUAGAAAGUCACGGCUAACUACGUGCCAGCAGCCGCGGUAAUACGUAGGUGGCAAGCGUUGUCCGGAUUUAUUGGGCGUAAAGCGAGUGCAGGCAGGUCUAUAAGUCUGAUGUGAAAGCCGUCGGCUCAACCGGAGAAUUGCAUCAGAAACUGUUGAACUUGAGUGCAGAAGAGGAGUGUGGAACUCCAUGUGUAGCGGUGGAAUGCGUAGAUAUAUGGAAGAACACCAGUGGCGAAGGCGGCUCUCUGGUCUGCAACUGACGCUGAGGCUCGAAAGCAUGGGUAGCGAACAGGAUUAGAUACCCGUGUAGUC